AGGCGAGUGUGUUCCAGGUGAUCCGGAGACAGAGCCAACUACUCAGCCUCAGAUUUCUGUUGCCAAGAGGUUGAAGAGAAAGGUGGUGCCAGCUGUGAACUCUGGCAAUUUUUAACCACAUGGACAAAUGAUUCGUUAUUUAAUGGUCACGUCACUAUAAACUCUAGUGUUUACUGUUUGUAUCAAAUUUUCUUCAGAAUUGUACGCUCACUCAGUCUCCCACGGGUCACAUACGGUAGCCCAUGGGAGCAGUAAUGUACACCUGUAAACUAAUACUUAAAAAUACUACAGGGUCCUUUUUGUCCCCGUCUAUGUAUUCAAGGUGAGGAUAAGGAGAAGUUAAUAUAUAUUAAUAAAUGUAUGUUUACUGUAAGACUGCACAAGGUGAGAGGUCAUGUGGACAAACUGAAGAGGAGGGUCAUCACACAAACACUCACAAGACAAUCACGUUGUCACAUCUUCAAUGGGAAAAACAACUGUUACUGUCACUGGUACUGGUUUCCUACAAAUGCAGUGCAAAUUGUAUGAAUAUGUUUCUAUAUCAUUGUUUCAUUGUGAUAUUGCAUUUUUCAUAUAUAUGAAAUGUAUUAAUCUAAAUUAAUUUGUAAUAAAAUGAUUCAGUGUUUA
This is a long non-coding RNA of Seriola dumerili (greater amberjack), 627 nucleotides long. RefSeq lists it as uncharacterized. Lineage: Eukaryota; Metazoa; Chordata; Actinopteri; Carangiformes; Carangidae. The record is from RefSeq and is a predicted model, not a curated record. The transcript has 2 exons.